CAUGUAGGCGGUUAUUUAAGUGAGUUGUGAAAUUCCUGGGCUCAACCUGGGGCUUGCAAGUCAUACUGGGUAACUAGAGUCUGAGAGAGGGAAGUAGAAUUUCCGGUGUAGCGGUGAAAUGCGUAGAGAUCGGAAAGAAUACCGGUGGCGAAGGCGGCUUCCUGGCUUAAGACUGACGCUGAGGUGCGAAAGCGUGGGUAGCGAACA
Molecule: ribosomal RNA, 207 nt
Filed under: uncultured bacterium
Lineage: Bacteria
Description: partial 16S ribosomal RNA
Rfam family: Bacterial small subunit ribosomal RNA
Source: RNAcentral